Molecule: non-coding RNA, 186 nt
Filed under: Clostridia bacterium
Lineage: Bacteria; Bacillati; Bacillota; Clostridia
Description: 6S RNA
Rfam family: 6S / SsrS RNA
About the family: E. coli 6S RNA was the first non coding RNA to be sequenced, but its function was unknown until recently. It consists of 184 nucleotides that fold into an extended hairpin structure with a large single-stranded internal bulge. The 6S RNA specifically associates with RNA polymerase holoenzyme containing the sigma70 specificity factor.
Source: RNAcentral
AAAUCCCUGCGUAGUUCGUGUAUUGUUAAAUUUUAGAACCACAAGUAUUAAAUGGGAGUCCAGUCUUGGAUGUGGCGUGUAGGCUUACACAAAAAAACAGUAAGAAACCCAGGAGCAUUCAACAAGACACCCACCUGUGUGAGCAGGUUUUUUAAAAUUAAACAUUACGGCUAAUGUGGGGAUUUU